Molecule: ribosomal RNA, 497 nt
Filed under: uncultured bacterium
Lineage: Bacteria
Description: partial 16S ribosomal RNA
Rfam family: Bacterial small subunit ribosomal RNA
Source: RNAcentral
GAUGAACGCUGGCGGCGUGCCUAAUACAUGCAAGUCGAGCGAACAGACGAGGAGCUUGCUCCUCUGACGUUAGCGGCGGACGGGUGAGUAACACGUGGAUAACCUACCUAUAAGACUGGGAUAACUUCGGGAAACCGGAGCUAAUACCGGAUAAUAUAUUGAACCGCAUGGUUCAAUAGUGAAAGACGGUUUUGCUGUCACUUAUAGAUGGAUCCGCGCCGCAUUAGCUAGUUGGUAAGGUAACGGCUUACCAAGGCAACGAUGCGUAGCCGACCUGAGAGGGUGAUUCGCCACACUGGAACUGAGACAAGGUCCAGACCCCUACGGGAGGCAGCAGUAGGGAAUCUUCCGCAAAGGGCGAAAGCCUGACGGAGCAACGCCGCGUGAGGGAUGAAGGGCUUCGGAUCGUAAAACUCUGUUAUUAGGGAAGAACAAAUGUGUAAGUAACUAUGCACGUCUUGACGGGACCUAAUCAGAAAGCCACGGCUAACUACGUG